CGCCCUGCCCUCCCAGGUUUCCGUCGCGAAGGACGCGGCGUCCGUUGGUUGUCAGGCUGUUGUUGUCAGGUUGUUGGCUGCGGCGAGGUCGCUUCCGCCACCUCUGCUAUUUCGGGUCAAGGUAGCAGCCGUCGCAGCUGCGGUCGCCACCACAGUCACCAGCUUCGCUGUGUGUGAGCCAGGGCUCCAGCGGGCGACUCCUCAGCGCCUGUGACGGGAGGCCUGAGAGACGGGGUGUGGGGAGAGGACGAACUGAGGAGGAGGAGGCCGGCGCGGCUAUGAGGGAGGCGCAGGGGCGAGCCGGGAGGCGGCUCUAAGGUGAAAGAUGCUGGCGGGGAGGCCGGGAGCCCAGAGCGCGGACCCCGGCCUGGGCCCUGAAUCCGCGGACAUCCUCGGCAGAGCCCCCCUCACCCUUCGGGAGAGCGGCGGGCGUCACCGACCCGGCGCUUACUUAGAUAUGAAAAUCCAUCUAGAAAAAAAUUUAGAAGAAGAACGCCAAAUAUUACUGCAGCAACAAAAAAUGUGUCGAAAUCGAGCACGUAAAUAUUUUGUGGAAUCAAACCGGAGAAAAAAAGCUUUUGAAGAAAAACGAAAAGAACAUGAAGAAAGGGAACACCAAAUUAGAGAACAAAUACUCCAACAAAGAAAACAGAAGUUUGAAGAAGUUACUGAAAAAUUCCAACGUGCCCACAUCCCUCUUUCUCAACGGAAGAGAGCAGUUUUCCAAAAACCUGUUCCUCCAUUAGAAGAGGCCCUUAAACAAAUUCAAGAAUCCAACUUGAAAUCAGAAGUACGCCUUCCCUUUUCCUACAGACCAACAAUAAGCCAGAGAGCUAUAGAUCCUACUUUGUCUUCAGCAUUGUCAAAAAAUGAUCACAAGCAUCAGAAACAUCUCAUAUCCAAAAUCAACUGGGAUACGGAAAUGAAGGAAAACAACAUGGCAAACAUAACUACAAACAAAAAUGUGUUCCAGCUUAAACUGGAGGAAACUCAGAAACUCCUAGAAGAUCAGCAUUUAAGCAGUUUGCAAAGAUUUUGUGAUGAAGUUAAGCAGAUAACCAAUUCUGAAACCCUUUCAAGUAUAGACAGUCUUGAGGCUGGAGAGCAUGAAGAAAUAUACUUUGCACUUAAUAAGGAGUCUGCUCCACCAAUCCAACAGAAUUCUGUUUCUCUCAAAUCAUCAAAUCUGCAGUCAACUAAUCUAAACAACCUUGAUGAAGAUAAACUGUCCUUAUCUAAAACUCAACAUAUAAAUGAUUGGCUUACAAAUUUAGAUGCCCAAAAUACUCAGUCUGUCACACCUUCCUCAGAUAUUUUAAGUAAAUCUAGUGUUUUGCCUUCGUGGGAACAUUUUAAUAAUAAAGAACAAAAUCAGUCUGCUUUUUGUAGAACUGUAGAAACAGCCACAAGUACUUCUAAUAAUUCAGUAGCUUUUGUAUAUAGUCCACCCAUUGUUGUACUAGAUAAAAAAUCUGAAAAAAACUCUGGAAAUAGCAUGAUGAAGACAAGUGACUUCACUUCUGGAACACUCAAAAAUGAGAAGCCAUUAGUUACUGAGACACCAACAUUUAAAUUCAGCAAAGCCUGGACCACUCCAGAUUCUCAAACCCCGGAGGUGUCUACAUUUUCAGACCAAGAUAAAUAUUGUCAAUUAACUCAAGAAAAUAGAACUGCUUCAAUUCCUACUUCAUUUGUACCAAUGGCGACACCUUUAGUCUUGCCAUUUAAUAGACAGUAUGCUAGACCAUUAGCAAAGAACAAUAUACACAUAAAAGAAAUUGAUCCAGUACAGUGUUCUGAUAAGCUAGAUGAAUUAAAAGAUAUUAAAGAUGAAAAUAUAAAACAUUUUAAUUAUGAAAAAAAAGAGUUGCCUUUAUUUUCUGACAGUUUUCAAGCUGCCAAUAUACCUCAAAAUUUUGAUUCAAAAGAUAAAAACCAAAAAAUAGCUGAAACAGCAACAUCAUUGUGUAAUGUAAUUUCUAAUUAUGACUUAUUUGAUGAGCACAAGAAAAUGAAAUACAACAUUCAUGAGAGAAAUGGUGUGAAGUUUCUUAAAAGUAUUUUAAAGAAAGAAUCUAAAUAUGAACAUGAUUAUCUUAAGGCACUACUCAUAAAGCAAGGCUUUAAGUUCAGAAAUAAAAAAGCAGCAGCUAUCAGAGAUAGUAUUGAAUUAACAAAGGAAAAAGAAAAAGGUACAGAAAUCCUAAAGACUACUAAAAAAUUGAGGUGGUUUGAUGAAACUAUUCAUAUAGGAAGCAGUGCUGAAGACACUCACUCACUGAAGUACAGAACAGGAACUACUCAACAGUGGUCUCAACAAUUUCAUAGUCAAAGUGGUCCUGGCAGCAACGCAAUUAAUGGUCCUGCCUGUCCUGUGCAUUCUGCUGAUAGAAAUAAGUCCAAGGACGUCUCUGAAAAUGUCUCUACAUUAGGAGGAUCUGGAAAAGACCAUGUGCCUUUGAACUGUUUUAUACCCUCAGGUUAUAACUUUACUAAGCAAGCCUGGCCAGUCUCCAAAGAAGAAAGUAUAAGUCCUGUACAUAAUGGUGGCUCAAAAGCUCCAAAAAGCAAUCUACAGAGAGAUGGAGCAAAAAUAAUUAGAAGAACAGGAUCUGCAAAAGUUCAAUCAGGAUUUAUAGAUACAAACAGAAAAGGCCCUAUCAUUCACCCACAAUCUGCAAGCAAAGCCAAUGCCUUUAUACAAGCUCAGGGUAAACUAAUCAUACCUCAACCUCCUCCUAAACCUGUAUCAAAUAUUAGAAGUAGUAAAAAUGUUCAAGGGUCUCAGUAUCAAUCAGUAAUGCCGCAAAAUUCUCAAAACCUUAUUACACAUGACUGUUUUAAUUCAAAAUAUGUGCUUCCCAUAGAAUACAGUUUCAAUCAAUGGCAUCAAGAAAGUAGCCCCCCACUCUCAGAUGCUUGUUCUGACCUGGUCACUGUGAUACCAUCUUUACCCUCUUACUAUUCUUCCCAGUGCCAAACUUUAGCAAAAACAAAUCAUUCAAACAGUACUCAAAUUUUUGCCCAGCAAGAUGGAACAUUAUAUUGCACCCAAAAAACUCCUGUUUUUGAAGAAAGUUAUCAGUCUGUGACUCUUAAAACUACUGAGCAAGAAUCUAUUCCCUCGUGGACAAAAAGGAAUAAUAUCCUGCACCAAAAUAAGAGGACCUCUGAAUUUUCAUAUGAUGCUAGUCAUUUGAUGAGAGAUACUAGUGAUUCUGCUGUUAGAAGAAAACGAAUUGUUGAAAAUAAUCAGAGUCUUUCAGACCAGAAAAGAAAAAACCCUGGAUCUGUAACACAGAAAUACAGUGAGCAAAUGAAUAAUUUUGGACAAAGUGUCCAUCUAAGUUCAAGUGAUCCAAAACAAACUACAAGGGGUACUUCUAAUACUGAAGAAGUUUCAGAUAGUACUUCUGAGUUUUUGAUGGCUGAAAAUCUGGUGAAAGCUUCAGUGCCUGAAGAUGAAAUUUUAACUGUCCUGAAUAACAAGCAACUACAGAAAUCAAAUCUGGCUUUAAAUAAGGCCCAGCGGUUCAACAUCUGUGCACUAUCAGCUGAAGAACAGAGGAUCCUGCAGUCCCUUGACCAUCUCAAUGAAAGACUACACUAUGUACAAGAAACCAUUUGCAAAAGUCCAUCCAUCAAAAAUAUGUUACAAAUAAUACCACUUCUGAACAGCCAAGCAAAGGCCAAUCCACCUCCUGAUGUUGGAUCCAGAUUGCAAAGAAAAUUCUGAUGACGUAUGACAGCAGCUUUUUAGUGGAAUCACUAUUCCUGAUAAUCUCCGGCUGUCUAUAUAAUGGAGAUGUCAACAAGGGGUCUUGUUAUCAACUCUACAUGUUUGAUAGUUAAUGUUAUCACUUUAUGCCAGGGUAAUUAGUCUCUAAAAAAUUCACCACACUUGAAAAAUCCAAAGGGAUCAAAUAGUAAACAUGAAAAAUAAACUGCAACCCCAACAGGAUAGCUUGAGUCUCCUAGUCAGUAUGUUUGGGAAACCAGAUUUAUAAGGUUGUUUAAGGCAAACAGGGUCUCUGAAGACAUUAGUGUUUGAUGACAGUUUUAUUCAUGGGUUCAUGACAUAAUUGUUUUUAUAAACUUUUACAAAAGACUUGAUCUUUGACUGUUUGGCAUUUUCUUCUUCCAUGGAAGUUAUACAUAAUGAAGUAUUAGUCAACCAUAAAGAAGAAUAAACUUGAGUCAUUUGUAUAAAAGUGG
Molecule: RNA transcript, 4215 nt
Organism: Fukomys damarensis (Damara mole-rat)
Lineage: Eukaryota; Metazoa; Chordata; Mammalia; Rodentia; Bathyergidae
Gene: Cep126
Gene name: centrosomal protein 126
Exons: 13
Source: RefSeq, a predicted model, not a curated record